GCUUUGUUCUCCUCUCCAACUGAUGUGGGAUCUCACAAUGUGAGUCUUGGUUGGUUGGUUGGUUGGUGACGGGUACCCCGCACAAUAGUAUGACAUGGUCUAUUUUCGGCUUAAAGCACCCAUGUAGUCUCGGUAAGAUACUGUACUUGUAUAUUUAAGGCAUGCUCCACUUUUAAGCAAUAUCGACUAUGUGUUCACAUUCCUAAUAUUUGAGAGCGCUUCGAUGGAUUUUUACACCUUUUUGCUGGUUGCAGAUGGUUUAGUAUUCACUCUCCCUUCUGAUUUUUAUGUGAUUUCAAUGUAAAUGAAGUCCUGUAGUUCAAUUUUGGCACUAAUCAGUUCUACUAGAACUUGUGGCCUAAUAGUCGAGUGAUUGAGGUAAGCCUCAGCUCUAGCUGAAUAAGUUGUCUGAGUCUGAGGUUACUUGUUCAUGGGGAAGGUGAUCUAAAGAUGCUCAAACUAGUUAUGAGCUAUGGCUUGGCAAGGGAAUGUAGCCACCAAUUUUACUCUGCAUUAGGCUAAUAGUUCUCUAGGGUCAUGAUCAUGAACGAUAAGAGAGGUAUGCUGGUUCUUUGAUCAACUUGUGGCUCAUAUAAUGCAGUUGGGUAUUUUAGAAUUCAAGCUCCAACUUAAACCUUCGAUCGUCCAGCGACUAUUCAUUCUGUUAUCAUACAAAAUCGGAAGCUUCUCGAUCUCAUAGGACUGAUUAGAAAGAAGACAGAACAAACUGGAUUGGAGAAAGAAAAUUGAAAUCGUUAAUUUGUGCACUAAUUACAUGGAAUGUAUAUAUGAGGAAUCAUGACAUUUCUAGAUUGUCAUGAAAAACUCGGAUCACAAGGAAUUCUAUCUCACAUUGACACGAGUCCUUUGAGCUAUGAAAUCUUAAUUUUAUGUGA
Molecule: long non-coding RNA, 896 nt
Organism: Cucurbita maxima (winter squash)
Lineage: Eukaryota; Viridiplantae; Streptophyta; Magnoliopsida; Cucurbitales; Cucurbitaceae
Exons: 2
Source: RefSeq, a predicted model, not a curated record